RNAcentral lists this transfer RNA (69 nucleotides) under Lepomis gulosus. RNAcentral describes it as "tRNA-His". It matches the Rfam family "tRNA". Rfam says of the family: Transfer RNA (tRNA) molecules are approximately 80 nucleotides in length. Their secondary structure includes four short double-helical elements and three loops (D, anti-codon, and T loops). The record is from RNAcentral. Lineage: Eukaryota; Metazoa; Chordata; Actinopteri; Centrarchiformes; Centrarchidae.
GUAGAUAUAGUUUAAUAAAAACACUAGAUUGUGAUUCUAGAGACAGAGGUUAAAACCCCCUUAUCCACC